RNAcentral lists this long non-coding RNA (261 nucleotides) under Elaeis guineensis (African oil palm). RNAcentral's name for it is "long non-coding RNA (EGUI_LNC026648)". Lineage: Eukaryota; Viridiplantae; Streptophyta; Magnoliopsida; Arecales; Arecaceae. The record is from RNAcentral.
GUGGCAUCCGAGUAGUUAUUCAUGUCCCGUUGGACAUGCCAAUACUUGCUUUCCUCAGAAAUAGGAGUGGAAAAAAUAUCUAGAAGGCUAGCUGGAUGAAUGCACCAGUAUACCAUCUAUUAGUCAUCAGAAAGGAUUGAGGUUUUGUAAAUGAUUAUCAAAUAAUGUAGGUUCUGCUGUCUUGAAACAAUAAGGACUUCUAUUACCAGGAUGCUAUUUAUAAAAGAUGAAAUGGUGAUAGAAAUUAUGUUGCAAAAAGUU